UACGUAGGUGGCAAGCGUUGUCCGGAAUUAUUGGGCGUAAAGCGCGCGCAGGCGGUCCUUUAAGUCUGAUGUGAAAGCCCACGGCUCAACCGUGGAGGGUCAUUGGAAACUGGGGGACUUGAGUACAGAAGAGAAGAGUGGAAUUCCACGUGUAGCGGUGAAAUGCGUAGAGAUGUGGAGGAACACCAGUGGCGAAGGCGACUCUUUGGUCUGUAACUGACGCUAAGGCGCGAAAGCGUGGGGAGCAAACAGG
This 253-nucleotide ribosomal RNA is filed under the name uncultured bacterium. RNAcentral describes it as "partial 16S ribosomal RNA". It matches the Rfam family "Bacterial small subunit ribosomal RNA", at positions 524 to 776 of the family's 1533-position model. The record is from RNAcentral.